AUUGAACGCUGGCGGCAGGCCUAACACAUGCAAGUCGAACGGCAGCGGGGAGUAGCUUGCUACUCUGCCGGCGAGUGGCGGACGGGUGAGUAAUGCCUGGGGAGCUGCCCAAUCGAGGGGGAUACCAGUUGGAAACGACUGCUAAUACCGCAUACGCCCUGAGGGGGAAAGGUGGGGAGCUUCGGACCUAUCGCGAUUGGCUGCACCCGGGUGGGAUUAGCUAGUUGGUGAGGUAACGGCUCACCAAGGCGACGAUCUCUAGCUGGUCUGAGAGGAUGACCAGCAACACUGGAACUGAGACACGGUCCAGACUCCUACGGGAGGCAGCAGUGGGGAAUAUUGCACAAUGGGGGAAACCCUGAUGCAGCCAUGCCGCGUGUGUGAAGAAGGCCUUCGGGUUGUAAAGCACUUUCAGCGAGGAGGAAAGGGUGGCAGCUAAUACCUGUCAUCUGUGACGUUACUCGCAGAAGAAGCACCGGCUAACUCCGUGCCAGCCGCCGCCGUAA
This 506-nucleotide ribosomal RNA is filed under the name uncultured bacterium. Its description in RNAcentral is "partial 16S ribosomal RNA". It matches the Rfam family "Bacterial small subunit ribosomal RNA", at positions 29 to 523 of the family's 1533-position model. The record is from RNAcentral.